CAAAUUAUCAUACUAUGAAUGAUAAUUCCAUUAGUCAAUAAGCACCAGGCCUUUGGGCCUCCAAUGAUUAUUAAACUAAUGGACUCAUUAUCACUCACUUAAUGAGAGGCUAUGACUUAGUUAUCACUAUAACUUAAUCAUUUUAGGGACCUAAUAAUUUUUGAGGAUUUCUUAAAGGAUAGAAGAGAAGAAAUUAACCAGCCAAUUUCAAUCCUCCCACUGACUUCAUCAAGUUAGAUUAAAAAGGAUUUAAUUAAAGCCGGCAUUAGGAGCACCUAAAUCAGUCACACUGAUUUAUCUAAUGACAUGGGUGAGCCCUAAUCACCAAGUGAUCUAAUCAAAACUUAACUCACCAGGUUGGCAAGGUAAGUGAGAUCAGUGGUGGGGAUAUGCCAUUAACUCGUCAGAGAUCAAAUCAAUGCGAGUAGCUCCCACUUAAGAACCACUGGUCAAACUGUCGAACUUACCUUAGACACCAACCGGUUUAUUAGUUUUAAUUUGAUCAACUUAGUAAAUAGGGUUUCACCGCCUAGCCAUGAAUUAAGUCCAUCUUGGUCUAGUUAAAGACAUGGACCCAUUCAACUACAACUAUU
This 593-nucleotide long non-coding RNA is filed under the name Elaeis guineensis (African oil palm). RNAcentral's name for it is "long non-coding RNA (EGUI_LNC070196)". Lineage: Eukaryota; Viridiplantae; Streptophyta; Magnoliopsida; Arecales; Arecaceae. The record is from RNAcentral.